Molecule: ribosomal RNA, 253 nt
Filed under: uncultured bacterium
Lineage: Bacteria
Description: partial 16S ribosomal RNA
Rfam family: Bacterial small subunit ribosomal RNA
Source: RNAcentral
UACGGGGGGGGCAAGCGUUGUUCGGAAUUACUGGGCGUAAAGGGCUCGUAGGCGGCCAACUAAGUCCGACGUGAAAUCCCCAGGCUUAACCUGGGAACUGCGUCGGAUACUGGAUGGCUUGAAUCCGGGAGAGGGAUGCGGAAUUCCAGGUGUAGCGGUGAAAUGCGUAGAUAUCUGGAGGAACACCGGUGGCGAAGGCGGCACCCUGGACCGGCACUGACGCUGAGGAGCGAAAGCCAGGGGAGCAAACGGG